This is an RNA transcript of Manihot esculenta (cassava), 1517 nucleotides long. RefSeq lists it as uncharacterized. The record is from RefSeq and is a predicted model, not a curated record. Lineage: Eukaryota; Viridiplantae; Streptophyta; Magnoliopsida; Malpighiales; Euphorbiaceae. The transcript has 4 exons.
CCUAAUUCUAAAAUCACAUUGCAUCCCUCACUCACUCUCCUUACUGCCGACAGCCACUUUCCUCACUCACAUUCUUCCCUUACUCAUGACCGACAUCCCUCUCCCUUACUCUAACUCACUUGUGCUCUCUCUCCCCCUUCUCCUCUCCUCCCUGCUCUCUCUCUCUCGCUCGCUCUCAUAUGGUCUCUCUCGCUCGGUCUCUCUCGGUCUCUCUCGCUCUCUCUCUCUCGCUCGGUCUCUCUCGCUCUCUCUCUCUCGCUCGGUCUCUCUCGCUCGCUCCUUCGCUUUCUCUCUUGGAUUUCUAUUGCUUCUCUCUCCUUAACUCUGUUUUACAAAGUGCAUCAGGCAUGUACAGAAAUCUGAAUUCAUUAGCAUUGGGAUUGGCAAAGAAAGGUGGUUUUCUCAUGAAUUGUUCUUGUUCAGGAGCUGUGACCCAAAGUGGUGUAUUCUUGCGCAUUCUCCAGGUUAGACUGGAUCCUUCUAGGCCCUUAAGUAAGCGGAGGCAUGGGGUUGUUGCUGAAAUUCUGAAGAAAGCACGUAUUUAUGUGCCACCAUCAGCUGAUAGCUCUGUGGGUUUAGAUGGCAAAACUGAAGCACAAACUUUUGCAGCCUCUUGAACUUAGAUCAAAAUCAAUGUGCCUUAUGGGUUUGUUUUUUCAAUUUCUUCUAGCUUUAUUUUGGAAACGAUGAAUUGUGAGAAUGUAUAAGCUCGUGGUCGUAGGCUUCACAAUGUUGAAAGUUGCAUCACUAAAUGUAUAACCUAUACUAUUUUAUGGGCUUUUUUAUAUUUUAUCUCAUGCGUCUUUUUCUAGUCUUAUUUAAAUAAUAAGGAAAAUUUUGGGAAAAUAUGGUAACAGCAGCUGGUACGCUCACCAUCUUACUGUGAUUCGUGUUGGCUAGCUUGGUUGUGCUUCCUGUUUCAUAAAUAAAGUGAUUUAGCUGUUCAGCAUUAUAUCUUUGGAUCCAAUGAUGUAUUAGUAUGUGGAGUUUGAGGUGUCUUACCAUAUUGCAUUUUGAUUCUUGUUUUACGAUACUACUUUUAUUAUUAGUAGUAGUAGUAUUAUUAAUUUUUCAUUAUCUUCUUUUAUAUUCAAAUAUAUUUUAAUAUUUUGGGUAGAACCUUAUGCCAUUUGCAAUCAUGGGUGGCAUGGAACAAGUUUCAGGACUUCUCAACUGAUGUGAUAUGGUGAUUUGCAUCUGGAGAAUGUAUACUAUUCAGAAAUGAAAGAUACUGGUUUCUUUGAUGCUGAUUGGGAGUAAUGCAGUGAUAUUUUAGCCGGAUGACUCUGUAUAUUAAAGUAACUUCCAGAUGGCAAAAAUUUAUGUACUUGAAGAGAUGCUUGUUUGUUGCUUGCUGGACUCGUUCUUUUACAAUAGAUGUAGUGUGCCUUUGGCACUUGGAACGCUUUAUUGUGUACCAAUUAGAAACUGGUUAGACCGCAUUAAAAAAUAUAACUCUGUAUAAUACAUAAUAAGGGAAGCAUAAAGGUAUAUUUUAUGAUAUGAAUUUGAUACUA